CAAAUUGAGAGUUUGAUCCUGGCUCAGGACGAACGCUGGCGGCGUGCCUAAUACAUGCAAGUCGAGCGAGCUGAAUUCACAGAUCUCUUCGGAGUGACGUGUUGGACGCUAGCGGCGGAUGGGUGAGUAACACGUGGGCAAUCUGCCCUAAAGACUGGGAUACCACUUGGAAACAGGUGCUAAUACCGGAUAACAAUGACUGCUGCAUGGCGGUUAUUUGAAAGGCGGCGCAAGCUGUCACUUUAGGAUGAGCCCGCGGUGCAUUAGCUAGUUGGUGAGGUAACGGCUCACCAAGGCCAUGAUGCAUAGCCGAGUUGAGAGACUGAUCGGCCACAUUGGGACUGAGACACGGCCCAAACUCCUACGGGAGGCAGCAGUAGGGAAUCUUCCACAAUGGACGCAAGUCUGAUGGAGCAACGCCGCGUGAGUGAAGAAGGUUUUCGGAUCGUAAAGCUCUGUUGUUGGUGAAGAAGGAUGUGAGUAGUAACUGGCUCAUAUUUGACGGUAAUCAACCAGAAAGUCACGGCUAACUACGUGCCAGCAGCCGCGGUAAUACGUAGGUGGCAAGCGUUGUCCGGAUUUAUUGGGCGUAAAGCGAGCGCAGGCGGAAUG
Molecule: ribosomal RNA, 612 nt
Filed under: Lactobacillus equicursoris
Lineage: Bacteria; Bacillati; Bacillota; Bacilli; Lactobacillales; Lactobacillaceae
Description: bacterial SSU rRNA
Rfam family: Bacterial small subunit ribosomal RNA
Source: RNAcentral